Molecule: small nuclear RNA, 109 nt
Filed under: Bison bison bison
Lineage: Eukaryota; Metazoa; Chordata; Mammalia; Artiodactyla; Bovidae
Source: RNAcentral
GUGCUCACUUUGGUCAGCACAUAUACUUAAAUUGGAAUGAUACAAAGAAAGAUUAGCAUGGCCCCUGCUCAAGGAUGACAUGCAAAUUGGUGAAGCAUUUCAUGUUUUU